Cannabis sativa is the source of this 1259-nucleotide long non-coding RNA. RefSeq lists it as uncharacterized. The transcript is spliced from 2 exons. The record is from RefSeq and is a predicted model, not a curated record. Lineage: Eukaryota; Viridiplantae; Streptophyta; Magnoliopsida; Rosales; Cannabaceae.
AUAUGCAACUUAUUUUCUUCUUUCUCUUUAGGUUCCCUUUUCCAAUGUAGUGUAUAUAGAACGCUCCGAAAAGAUUUUCGGAUGAAGAUUCAAAAGAUUACUACCACAUUACUAGUGUCUCUCUGUUAUUUAUUCGAGGAUUUGUUGUAGACUUUGUCCUAAUACUUCUUCAUGUUGGGUUCAGAUACGCUUUCCCUAUCAAAUGCACGGAUGUUAUCCUAAGGAGACUGUUCUUGAAGUUCGGGCCGAGUAUGAUCCAUCUAAGAAGACAAAGCCAAAGAAUCCUGGUGAACUUGAAGACUGGCUUGCUGAUCUGAACCCGCAAUCCAAGACGGUUACACCCAAUGCAUACGCUGUUUAAUUAAUUUGCAUGAUAUAAUUGCAGUUGGCCAAAACUAUAAUUGAAGGUGUUUGAUCCAAAGUUUAACCAUGUGGUGUAGGGUAUUUUGUGGUCGAUAAGGAUUCAACUCCGGAGAAGCCUGUCUUUAAUCCGACGGUGACACUUAGAGACAGCUACAAUAAGAGUGGAAAGUUCUUUUUUCUUUUCUGUUUGUAUAAGAUGUUGUAAGAAAGCAUUCACAAAUUCUACUUGAGUCUCAUAUAGAUUUGAGUAAUCAACUACUAAUUGUAAUGGUUUGCUAAGUUUUUGAGAAGUUUAGUGAGUCCCCAUGUCCUCACUAAACUUUUGGAAAAGUUCCUGUUGAAUGAAGUGUUUGGUCUUUAGCAAAAAAGAAAACUACUACUGGAUAGCAUAGACUUGCUACCACUGUAAUUCCAAAUUCGAUAGCAUAAACCUUGCAAAUUCAGAAGGGAAGACUUGCUUUUAGGGCAAGUCCCAAAAGAUGAAAUAUCCCUCUGGACGCUCUCGGAGCACUGGUACGAGUAUGUGUUCGACUGUGAGUGGACAAUAAAGCCAAAUUCGAUAGAAUCGUGAUCCAAAGUAUGGCUCCACAUAAGGCUCCACUACAAGUACUGCUUGUGCUAAUGGUCGGGUGGAAUGGGGCUGUUGGCGCACAAAUAUCCUGGGAAUCGGGAGGAAAUCGGCCAUGUUAAUUGGCGGCACCAGAUAGUAGGGGUGUGGCGGUGGGAAAUGGCGGUACGACCCAGAGUGGGCAAAUGUGGUCAAAUGCUCAAAAGUUGAGACGGGCGGCGUAUCCAUUUUUUAGACCUGUUUUUGUUUGAAAAAGAGAAACACAAUCAAUAAAUAUAUCCAAACAAUUAAUGAAAGAAACUGGACUAAAAAAAAAUUUGCAUGCAAA